AUUCUACCCAUGUGGGGAAGGAUGAGAAGCUUCGACUAAGGUUCGAUUCGAGCGCAGCGAGAAAGCGUUGCCGCAGGCAACG
This 82-nucleotide small RNA is filed under the name Salmonella enterica subsp. enterica serovar Derby. RNAcentral describes it as "partial RtT sRNA". It matches the Rfam family "RtT RNA", at positions 1 to 81 of the family's 130-position model. Rfam says of the family: This family represents a bacterial cis-regulatory element known as RtT RNA. The exact function of RtT is unknown although it is thought that it may be involved in changing the cellular response in relation to amino acid starvation. The record is from RNAcentral. Lineage: Bacteria; Pseudomonadati; Pseudomonadota; Gammaproteobacteria; Enterobacterales; Enterobacteriaceae. RNAcentral also lists the same sequence under 3 other names.